GACGAACGCUGGCGGCGUGCUUAACACAUGCAAGUCGAACGGAAAGGCCCUGCUUUCGUGGCGUGCUCGAGUGGCGAACGGGUGAGUAACACGGGAGUAUCCUGCCCUUGACUUUGGGAUAACUUCAGGAAACUGGGGCUAAUACCUGAUAGGAGCUCCUGCUACCUGGUGGGGGUCGGAAAGUUUCGGCGGAUUGGGAUGUACUCGGGGGUUAUCAGCUUGUUGGUGGGGUAGUGGCUUACGAAGGCUUUGACGGGUAGCCGGCCUGAGAGGGUGACCGGCGACAAUGGGACUGAGGUACGGCGCAGAGUGCUACGGGAGGCAGUAGUGGGGAAUAUUGUACAAUGGGGGGAAGCGUGAUGCGGAGAUGUUGCGUGUGGGAUGACGGCUUUCGUGUGGUGAACGGCUUUCGCCUGUGACGAAGCGUGAGUGACGUUACCGGGUAAAGAAGCACCGGCUAACUACGUG
RNAcentral lists this ribosomal RNA (468 nucleotides) under uncultured bacterium. RNAcentral describes it as "partial 16S ribosomal RNA". It matches the Rfam family "Bacterial small subunit ribosomal RNA", at positions 28 to 507 of the family's 1533-position model. The record is from RNAcentral.